This is a small nuclear RNA of Fukomys damarensis (Damara mole-rat), 105 nucleotides long. The record is from Ensembl. Lineage: Eukaryota; Metazoa; Chordata; Mammalia; Rodentia; Bathyergidae.
GUACUCACUUGGCAGCACAUCAGCUAAAAUUGGAAGCAAAUAGAGAAAAUUGGCAUGGCACCUGCACAAGGUGACAUGCAAAUUCUACAUUAUAGAAAAAUUGUA